UACGGCCAUAUCUACAUUGAAACUCUGAUUCUCGUACGUUCGCCGGUUAAACAACGUCGAGUCUGGUCAGUACGUAGAUGGGUGACCACUUGGGAAUACCAGGUGCU
Acanthosepion pharaonis is the source of this 107-nucleotide non-coding RNA. NCBI's taxonomy places the organism in Eukaryota, Metazoa, Mollusca, Cephalopoda, Sepiida, Sepiidae. The record is from the annotation of a GenBank genome assembly.